GUGAAACGCCAAGCCUAAUUGCGAAACGAUUAACUCCAAGUUGUUGUUGUUAUAGAUUCAGCUACUCGGAACAAGUUCCAAGUAGCACGGGCUAUGGUGAGCCCGUAACUUACCUGGCACAGGAGCGGGGCAAGUAGCACGGGCUAUGGUGAGCCCGUAGUGGACUUACCUGGCACAGGAGCGGUGCCUGUGGAUUAACUCCAAUAACUGGAAACUAAUAAGCCUGGCGGCAAAGAAACGCACACAGGCAGAUGAUUGGGGAGCCCCAGGAGUCCCUCUGGGUGACAAGCGCCGGUCCCGCCCCAAACAGAGAACCCACCAACUCCCGGCACCUCUCUGCCAAGCCGGCGCCGGACACCGUUACCCUGCCGGGAGAACCAGCCAGAACACGUAAUAAAAAAUCUAUUAACAAUCCAAGACCCAAGACGAUAUGUGCGCGCCAGGCGUCGUAUAAAAGGACUGUUGAAUAGAGAUGCCAAUUUACGGGCUCACCGUAGCCCGUUCUAUAUGGACACUUCGUUCUGAGUAGCUAAAUCUGAAACAAGAACAGGGAUGCCAAUUUACGGGCUCACCAUAGCCCGUGCUAUAUGGACACUUCGUUCUGAGUAGCUAAAUCUGAAACAACAGGGAUGCCAAACGGCUGUAUCAAAUCCAAAUCGCAAGCAAAACGUGAUCCGGCGGCUCCCAUGCGUAGGAGGCUCGGCGUCAAGGUUGAACGAGGUGACAUCUAGCAGUAAAUAUAUCUACGGGAGUUAGGUAAUUGCUGUAGGUUGCAUCCCAGGUAGAAAGUUAAUAAUUAAUAUAGGUGAACGUGCAUUGGGGGAUAGGAAACGGGCCCAACCAUUUCAAUCACGUCAUGGGUUUGAACACGGAAUUCUUGAUUGUAAGUCGAGAACAAACCAGACUGUACUACCGGGACCUAGGACUUCGACAAGUUAAAUCUUUAAGUAUUCUUGUGUGCCUCCGACAAUGGGAAUUAUAGUUCUACCUUUAGGCUGUUGUUCAAAGGCAAUCCAAGAUGGUGUUAAAACAUUAUUUUAAUGUUAACGUUAAUUUUAAUGUUUAUUUCAUAAUAAAAUUUUACAUCUUAAAUAAUGUUGUAUUUAAAAAUGUCCUCUUUUCAGUUGAUAUGAGAAUAGAUUGUUUUUUUUUCUUUUAAUAUUAUCAUUUGAUAAGUGUACAGUCUCUCUGAUUCCCUCAGCGGCACACUUGCGUGCUGUAGCUGCCCCAACUCACUAUAACAACAAAAAGAAGCAGCAUUUUCACAAACGACACUCGCUAUCUCAUUAGACCUUCGCCCUUCAAUUAGGAGAUGCUACGUACUCAUUAAUACGGGACGCUAAAACUAGUUACAGGAAGGGAUAAUGGAGGAUAACAUUACUCGCAAAUCUAAAUGGACAAUAGGAAGCUGAACAAUAAUUGUGCAUCAACAAUCCAGGACAAGGACAAAUAAUGAAGUACUGUAUACAGGUAUAUAUAUUUUGUAUGAUGUUACCAAGGCCAAAAGUCACCAGAACGGAUGUCAUGAACAUUCAUCAUGCCCAUCAGGAAACCAUCAAUAAUGGAUAUAGAAUAUGUCAGGGAAGCUAACUCACCAGCAGUCAAUACAAAUUCCCAAUACUGUAUCUAAUUGCUAAAAAUCUAUUCUAAUGUAAUGGAGAUUUUUGUACAAAAAUAAAAUAUAAAAUAAAAUUACCAUUUGGCAACAAUAUUUUA
This is a long non-coding RNA of Procambarus clarkii (red swamp crayfish), 1716 nucleotides long. RefSeq lists it as uncharacterized. The record is from RefSeq and is a predicted model, not a curated record. Lineage: Eukaryota; Metazoa; Arthropoda; Malacostraca; Decapoda; Cambaridae.